RNAcentral lists this transfer RNA (61 nucleotides) under Cavia porcellus (domestic guinea pig). It matches the Rfam family "tRNA". Rfam says of the family: Transfer RNA (tRNA) molecules are approximately 80 nucleotides in length. Their secondary structure includes four short double-helical elements and three loops (D, anti-codon, and T loops). Lineage: Eukaryota; Metazoa; Chordata; Mammalia; Rodentia; Caviidae. The record is from Rfam by way of RNAcentral.
AGGGAUUUAGCUCAGUGGUAUAAGCACCUGCCUGGUAAGCAUGAGAUAAAUUUGAUCCCUG